Mustela erminea (ermine) is the source of this 796-nucleotide long non-coding RNA. RefSeq lists it as uncharacterized. Lineage: Eukaryota; Metazoa; Chordata; Mammalia; Carnivora; Mustelidae. The transcript is spliced from 2 exons. The record is from RefSeq and is a predicted model, not a curated record.
UGCUGCCCACUGCCUGGAGGAAGGACGCCUGCCCCCCGCCUAGGAAGGAGGAACCGAGGAGUUGGCUCAGAGUUAAAGACACUUGCAUGAAGCAUGGAGCAUGGGAGGACUUCAUUUUGCAGUUGGGAACACAGGAACCCGUGUUCCUGAAGACCAGCACCUGCUAAGACAGAGGCUUCAUGGGAACCCCAACCUUCUCAAGGGCCAAAAGCACCCCCUGAAAAGCUCUUUUCUUCAGAGAGAGGGUCCACAUGGGCCUGACCUCCCCAGAGUAUCCAGCCGAGCAUGCUAUGGGCCUGAGGGGCAUUCUCAAGCAGGAUGAACUCUUUUAUCGCCACCUACUGAUAGAGGACAGAACUGUUACCAAGCUGUAUUAGAUACCAGAAAUGGUCUCAAGCAAAACUCUGCAAAAAUGAAAAUUUUUACUCCUGGUCAAUAUGGUACGGUACCCAGCAAGCUUCAUAGCGUGCCAACAUACACCUCCAGACUGACUUCGUGUUUUCAAGUCAUCCUACAGCUGGCUUCUCCUCUGCACUGCCACAGAAAUACAUACAUGACCACUGUGGGAAACUAAGGAAGGUGGGAUUUGCUUUACAGUUUGCUUGGGAGCCUAUUUCUAGGAAUCAGGCCAAAUCGAGUUUUUCUUUGUAAUGACACCAUUAUGUCUUGCUGACUGGGAGGUGGGUGCAGGCAAAGAUGAAUGACUGACAGCUAAAGAGGCCUCAGGGAUUAGUCCCCGAUUCUCACCAUGGCAUCUCUCUGAUGGGUUAAAUAAAGGCGCCUAUAGAACUCCUUC